CAGAAGUUGAUCCUGCCACGUCCACUGGAGAGGCAAAAAGGAGUCCAAAAGUCCUUGAGGCUACAUCUUACCGCCCCACCCCCAGCUCAGACAACAAGCCUGUGACCCAGAAGCGAGCAUCUCAUCUCUCCUUGAUUAGACUUUCCAGAGACUGCACUCCCAGCUCUUGUGUCCACCCAAGAAGAAACCAAGGCCAGGACAUUGGCUCCCCAGUCUAUAAAUAGAGGUUCACAGAGACAAUGAAGGCAGUUAUGGCGGUGUCAGCCUCUUAGUCUUUCCAUGUAGAGAAAAUGUGCGACUUCCCAAACGUUUAUUUCUCAAGUGGCAACCAACCGUUUCUUUCCAAUAAGCUUUGAAUAUCACCACGAGGCUCAC
This 375-nucleotide long non-coding RNA is filed under the name Mus spicilegus (steppe mouse). RNAcentral's name for it is "lncRNA (ENSMSIG00000006263.1)". Lineage: Eukaryota; Metazoa; Chordata; Mammalia; Rodentia; Muridae. The record is from RNAcentral.